RNAcentral lists this long non-coding RNA (663 nucleotides) under Phoenix dactylifera (date palm). RNAcentral's name for it is "long non-coding RNA (PDAC_LNC019771)". The record is from RNAcentral. Lineage: Eukaryota; Viridiplantae; Streptophyta; Magnoliopsida; Arecales; Arecaceae.
AGACUAUCCGGUAAUAAACAGGAUAUAAGACAAAAGGGAUGGAUAUUCAGUUGUUCACUCUCAUUUAUAUCUUUAUGAAAGCAGCGAUCAUUACUUUUGUAAUAUUAGCUAGCAGAGGUUCAAUCUUCCGGAUGUAGAACUGGUUGUGGAAGUUAGUUUUGUGAAAUUGGUUACAGUUGGCACCAUUUAGUGUUACAUGAUUGGAAGAAUUCUUUGGAUAAAGUCCUAAACCUAGAUUUUUUUGCAUUUGCUUAUACAGUUCUCUUGUCAAUAUCUGGAUAAGUUGGGGCCUAAAUUCUGAGUCCCUUUAUAGCAUCCUGCAGAUUAAAUGGGGGUCCUUUAGAUUGAAAUCCAAGUUAAACACAUCUUGAACAUGAAAUUCAGAAUCAGCGGGUUGGAUAUGUCUAGGCAAGGCCAUCAUUGGCUUGGCAACUUUGGACCUGACUUGGACUGGUUAGAUCAAAAAAAUAGAGGCUCACAAAGUCAAGUCAAUCUAGCCCAUAAAGCUCAAUGUCCAUCAUUGUAUCAUCUCUUUUGAUGGCAUCUCUUAGACUGCCUUUGCUCUUUGAUAUAGCCCAAUUCAAGCACUACUGCACACAUUAUAGAUAUAUAUCUCGCUGUCUGUGUGUUGUACAGAACUUCUCUUCUAUUUACUUGUUAUUA